RNAcentral lists this ribosomal RNA (481 nucleotides) under uncultured bacterium. RNAcentral describes it as "partial 16S ribosomal RNA". It matches the Rfam family "Bacterial small subunit ribosomal RNA", at positions 28 to 507 of the family's 1533-position model. The record is from RNAcentral.
GAUGAACGCUGGCGGCGUGCUUAACACAUGCAAGUCGAACGAAGCAUUUGCGACAGAUUUUUUCGGAAUGAAGUUGCUUAUGACUGAGUGGCGGACGGGUGAGUAACGCGUGGGUAACCUGCCUUGUACUGGGGGAUAGCAGCUGGAAACGGCUGGUAAUACCGCAUAAGCGCACAAUUUUGCAUGACAUGGUGGGAAAAACUCCGGUGGUAUAAGAUGGACCCGCGUCUGAUUAGCUAGUUGGUGAGAUAACAGCCCACCAAGGCGACGAUCAGUAGCCGACCUGAGAGGGUGACCGGCCACAUUGGGACUGAGACACGGCCCAGACUCCUACGGGAGGCAGCAGUGGGGAAUAUUGCACAAUGGAGGAAACUCUGAUGCAGCGACGCCGCGUGAGUGAAGAAGUAAUUCGUUAUGUAAAGCUCUAUCAGCAGGGAAGAUAGUGACGGUACCUGACUAAGAAGCUCCGGCUAAAUACGUG